Molecule: ribosomal RNA, 1353 nt
Filed under: uncultured fungus
Lineage: Eukaryota; Fungi
Description: eukaryotic LSU rRNA
Rfam family: Eukaryotic large subunit ribosomal RNA (bases 691-1353)
Source: RNAcentral
CUUGGUCAUUUAGAGGAAGUAAAAGUCGUAACAAGGUUUCCGUAGGUGAACCUGCGGAAGGAUCAUUAUUGAAUUCACUAUGCGACGCUGCUGCUGGCUCCUUCGGGGGUAAUGUGCACGCUUAGCAAAUGUCAUUUCAACCACCUGUGAACCUUUUGUAGUCUUUGGGUGACGCUACUUUCAAAGGAAACUUUGGAUUUGAAUGCUGCAGGCUUUCUGUUACAAGAAGGUCCGCUUUAUUCUACAGCAGAGCCCGGGUCUAUGCAUUUACACACUCUAUUGUAUGUUUUGAAUGUAAUUCAAGGGCUUAAAUGCCUUUAAAUUUUAUACAACUUUCAGCAACGGAUCUCUUGGCUCUCGCAUCGAUGAAGAACGCAGCGAAAUGCGAUAAGUAAUGUGAAUUGCAGAAUUCAGUGAAUCAUCGAAUCUUUGAACGCACCUUGCGCCCUUUGGUAUUCCGAAGGGCAUGCCUGUUUGAGUGUCACUAAAUUCUCAACCUUGGAAAGCUUUUUGUUUUCCAUGGCUUGGAAGUGGGGGUUUGCGGGCUUUUCGAAGUCGGCUCCUCUGAAAUGCAUUAGCUGGGUUUGCGCCUUCAGCCUAUUGGUGUGAUAAUUAUCUACGCCUCUUGGUCGUUAGCGUGUUGUACUUUCUAGCUUCAAAUCGUCCUUCAAUGGACAAUACUUGACCAUUUGACCUCAAAUCAGGUAGGACUACCCGCUGAACUUAAGCAUAUCAAUAAGCGGAGGAAAAGAAACUAACAAGGAUUCCCCUAGUAACUGCGAGUGAAGCGGGAAAAGCUCAAAUUUGUAAUCUGGCGGUCUUGGGCCGUCCGAAUUGUAAACUAGAGAAGCGUUAUCCGCGCUGGACCGUGUACAAGUCCCCUGGAAUGGGGCGUCAUAGAGGGUGAGAAUCCCGUCUUUGACACGGACUCCCAGGGCUUUGUGAUGCGCUCUCAAAGAGUCGAGUUGUUUGGGAAUGCAGCUCAAAAUGGGUGGUAAAUUCCAUCUAAAGCUAAAUAUUGGCGAGAGACCGAUAGCGAACAAGUACCGUGAGGGAAAGAUGAAAAGAACUUUGGAAAGAGAGUUAAACAGUACGUGAAAUUGCUGAAAGGGAAACGCUUGAAGUCAGUCGCGUUAGCUAGGGAUCAGCCUUACCUUGGUGAGGUGUACUUCCUUGUUGACGGGUCAGCAUCAGUUUUGGCUGCUGGAUAAAGGCUGAGGGAAUGUGGCACCUUCGGGUGUGUUAUAGCCCUUGGUCAGAUACAGUGACUGGGACUGAGGAACUCAGCACGCGCAAGCUGUGCUCAGGAUGCUGGCAAAAUGGCUUUAAUCGACCCGUCUUGAAACACGGACC